This 254-nucleotide ribosomal RNA is filed under the name uncultured bacterium. RNAcentral's name for it is "partial 16S ribosomal RNA". It matches the Rfam family "Bacterial small subunit ribosomal RNA", at positions 524 to 776 of the family's 1533-position model. The record is from RNAcentral.
UACGGAGGGAGCUAGCGUUAUUCGGAAUUACUGGGCGUAAAGCGCACGUAGGCGGCUUUGUAAGUUAGAGGUGAAAGCCUGGAGCUCAACUCCAGAAUUGCCUUUAAGACUGCAUCGCUUGAAUCCAGGAGAGGUGAGUGGAAUUCCGAGUGUAGAGGUGAAAUUCGUAGAUAUUACGGAAGAACACCAGUGGCGAAGGCGGCUCACUGGACUGGUAUUGACGCUGAGGUGCGAAAGCGUGGGGAGCAAACAGG